AACUGAAAACAGGAUCAAUCAGAUACACCGGGUAACAAGUUCCUUGGAAUAGGACAUCAUGGAGGGUGAGAAUCCCGUCUUUGACCCGAGACUUGGUAUCUUUUGUAUUGGCCUGUUCAAGAGUCAGGUUGUUUGGGAAUGCAGCCUAAAGCUGGAGGUAAAUCCCUCCUGAAGCUAAAUAAUGGCGAGAGACCGAUAGCGAACAAGUACCGUGAGGGAAAGAUGAAAAGAACUCUGAAGAGAGAGUUAAACAGUACGUGAAAUUGCUUAAAGGGAAGCAUAUAAAGCUAGGAUGCGAUUGUUUUCUUCAGGUUGAGCUUUGGCUUGACUGUUUAGAAGGAUAAUCCGAGACAACAAGAAUUGGAAGAGAAGAAUAAGCCGUGAGGGAAGGUAAUCCUUCGGGAUGUUUAUAGACCUUGCGGUUCGCGCUUUUCUUUCGAUUGAGGAAUGCUGUAACAGGUUGUUGUCUGAAUGGCUUUAUAUGGCCCGUCUUGAAACACGGACCAAGGAGUCCACCUAAUGUGCGAGUAUUUGGGAGGUAAACCCAUAUGCGCAAUGAAAGUGAUUUUUUGCCUAUGAGGGGGUCCCUUGGGGCCUCUGCAAUAGGGUCGGGCAGGGACGUUUUAUACUGAACUGACUCAGACAAAGCACAUUGGAUGGGACCCGAAAGAUGGUGAACUAUGCUUGGAUAGGGUGAAGCCAAAGGAAACUUUGGUGGAGGCUCGUAGCGAUUCUGACGUGCAAAUCGAUCGUCGAAUCUGAGCAUAGGGGCGAAAGACUAAUCGAACCAUCUAGUAG
RNAcentral lists this ribosomal RNA (798 nucleotides) under Syncephalastrum racemosum. RNAcentral describes it as "partial large subunit ribosomal RNA". It matches the Rfam family "Eukaryotic large subunit ribosomal RNA", at positions 148 to 950 of the family's 3401-position model. The record is from RNAcentral. Lineage: Eukaryota; Fungi; Mucoromycota; Mucoromycetes; Mucorales; Syncephalastraceae.